RNAcentral lists this long non-coding RNA (643 nucleotides) under Citrus x clementina. RNAcentral describes it as "Citrus clementina (C. clementina) long non-coding RNA (CCLE_LNC002428)". The record is from RNAcentral. Lineage: Eukaryota; Viridiplantae; Streptophyta; Magnoliopsida; Sapindales; Rutaceae.
AUUAUAAAUAGAGAGGUAUUGUCAUUGUUUUCAUAACUUUAGCAUCAAUUAUUCAAUAAAACUGUUUUAUAAUUCCAUUUGGAAUUAUCUAUCAAAAUCUCUCUUGUAGAGUCAUUUGGAUUAGAGCGUCAUCUAAUCUCGUUUCAUGUUUAAUUAAAAAUCUCAUUGAGUUGUUUGGAUUAGAACGAGAUCUAAGCACGCUUCAAUUAGUGUAUAAAUUAAUCGCGUUGACUUAGUCCUAUCUAGAACGAUACCUAGUGUUUCCUACUAUAUCAAUUUGCUUCUGCUACACCGCUCCAUCAUUUGGUAUAAGAGGACAACACCUUUUCAUAGAGUGACUAGUAAGAUCAAGUAAAAGAUAAAGCAUGGAGAAUUUUGAGUUUCAAGAUUGAUUGAUGAGUAAGGUUGCAAGUUCAAUCUCAAAGAUGCAUUGAUACUCUACUACAAGUUCUAUCCUCCAGAUAACUCGAGGACGAGUUUCCUUUUAAGAGAGGGGGAAUGACUUAGAAUGUUAUUUUAAGAUUCUAGAAUUUUAUUAUUUUGGGAUUUUCUAUUUUAAUUAAAGUCAAUUAUGGUAUGUGUUUAGUAUUUUAUUUCUAUUAUAAUUAUGAUUUAUUUUACCUUUUAAAGUCAACUUAGGAAA